UACGAAGGGUGCAAGCGUUACUCGGAAUUCCUGGGCGUAAAGCGUGCGUAGGUGGUUUGUUAAGUCUGAUGUGAAAGCCCUGGGCUCAACCUGGGAAUUGCAUUGGAUACUGGCAGGCUAGAGUGCGGUAGAGGAUGGCGGAAUUCCCGGUGUAGCAGUGAAAUGCGUAGAGAUCGGGAGGAACAUCUGUGGCGAAGGCGGCCAUCUGGACCAGCACUGACACUGAGGCACGAAAGCGUGGGGAGCAAACAGG
RNAcentral lists this ribosomal RNA (253 nucleotides) under uncultured bacterium. RNAcentral describes it as "partial 16S ribosomal RNA". It matches the Rfam family "Bacterial small subunit ribosomal RNA", at positions 524 to 776 of the family's 1533-position model. The record is from RNAcentral.